RNAcentral lists this transfer RNA (77 nucleotides) under bacterium. Its description in RNAcentral is "tRNA-Arg". It matches the Rfam family "tRNA". Rfam says of the family: Transfer RNA (tRNA) molecules are approximately 80 nucleotides in length. Their secondary structure includes four short double-helical elements and three loops (D, anti-codon, and T loops). Further hydrogen bonds mediate the characteristic L-shaped molecular structure. tRNAs have two regions of fundamental functional importance: the anti-codon, which is responsible for specific mRNA codon recognition, and the 3' end, to which the tRNAs corresponding amino acid is attached (by aminoacyl-tRNA synthetases). tRNAs cope with the degeneracy of the genetic code in two manners: having more than one tRNA (with a specific anti-codon) for a particular amino acid; and 'wobble' base-pairing, i.e. permitting non-standard base-pairing at the 3rd anti-codon position. The record is from RNAcentral. RNAcentral also lists the same sequence under 3 other names.
GCACCCGUAGCUCAGCUGGAUAGAGCGUCUGUUUGCGGUACAGGAGGUCGUAGGUUCGAAUCCUGCCGGGUGUACCA